UUAGUAAGUUUCUCUAUAUUU
This 21-nucleotide non-coding RNA is filed under the name Caenorhabditis elegans. The record is from RNAcentral. Lineage: Eukaryota; Metazoa; Nematoda; Chromadorea; Rhabditida; Rhabditidae.